Molecule: ribosomal RNA, 372 nt
Filed under: uncultured organism
Description: partial 16S ribosomal RNA
Rfam family: Bacterial small subunit ribosomal RNA
Source: RNAcentral
GUAGGUGGCAAGCGUUGUCCGGAAUUAUUGGGCGUAAAGCGCGCAGGCGGGUUCUUUAAGUCUGAUGUGAAAGCCCACGGGCUCAACCGUGGAGGGUCAUUGGAAACUGGAGAACUUGAGUACAGAAGAGGAAAGCGGAAUUCCACGUGUAGCGGUGAAAUGCGUAGAGAUGUGGAGGAACACCAGUGGCGAAGGCGGCUUUCUGGUCUGUAACUGACGCUGAGGCGCGAAAGCGUGGGGAGCAAACAGGAUUAGAUACCCUGGUAGUCCACGCCGUAAACGAUGAGUGUUAAGUGUUAGGGGGUUUCCGCCCCUUAGUGCUGCAGCUAACGCAUUAAGCACUCCGCCUGGGGAGUACGGCCGCAAAGGCUG